CUGAGGUUCUCUCUUCUUGUCCUACGUUUAUGCUACUAAUAUAUCUUAUUUGACAUGGCCUUUUUCAUUUGUUUAACUUCUUGUUUCACAUUCUAUGGUUCAAAUGGCAUGUAUGAUUUUCAGCCCCCUUGAUCUGAUCAAAAUAUAAUAGGGCAUCAUCACAUUUUGUUGGGAAAUGAUAGAAGAGGAUAGUUUCAUUGAUGCCUGCUUAUUUGAUGCAAUUAACAUGACUGCAAAAGUGUGAUAUUUUCCCAUAGCCCAAUUUCCAUCCAGAAAAAUGUGAAGAUAAAUUCCCAAAGGCAUAACUACCCAAAUAUGUGUGUGUGCGUGCAAGGCAGGGGUUUCACAGGCUUCACCUUAAUCAAAUGCAAUUUACUUGAUGUACAUGG
RNAcentral lists this unclassified non-coding RNA (389 nucleotides) under Hevea brasiliensis (rubber tree). Lineage: Eukaryota; Viridiplantae; Streptophyta; Magnoliopsida; Malpighiales; Euphorbiaceae. The record is from RNAcentral.